UCGUGGAGCUCCGGCUCCUUCGAGGGAGAACCCUUGCCUUUUGAGGCACCUGUUUGUUUCCUCGGCAGGCCCGCCUGCCAAUGGGGACCCCUUCAAACUCUUGCAAUAACCUGUAUGAAAUCGUCUGAACAAAACAAACAAAUCA
This 145-nucleotide unclassified non-coding RNA is filed under the name soil metagenome. RNAcentral's name for it is "partial internal transcribed spacer 1". The record is from RNAcentral.